AUGCGUGCAGCAAAGAAUGGAGGAGUCGGAACCCGAACGGAAGCGGGCUCGCACCGACGAGGUGCCUGCCGGAGGAAGCCGCUCCGAGGCGGAAGAUGAGGACGACGAGGACUACGUGCCCUAUGUGCCGUUACGGCAGCGCCGGCAGCUACUGGUGAGGGGCACGCGUACGGGGAGGGAUGGGGCCGUGACCGCCGGGUCGCAGGGGGCGGGCGUGGCCUCGGCCUCCGUGGGGAGGAGGGCAGUCUGAGGAGUGAGCUUCAGUACACCAGGGCGCGGCCCCCAGACAAACGAGGUACCGACGGCUUGAUCUGAGGGGUAGGGCAGCUCUGCGCCUCGGGCACAGGACCCUCGCCCCAAAGCCAGGAUCCUGACGCUGACCUUGUGGACUCCGUGCCCAUUCUAUCUGUGGGUCCCGGGUGGAACCUCAGCUCCAGAAGCUGCUGCAGCGAAGACGCAAGGGAGCUGCGGAGGAAGAGCAGCAGGACAGCGGUAGUGAACCCCGGGGAGAUGAGGACGACAUCCCGCUAGGCCCUCAGUCCAACGUCAGCCUCCUGGAUCAGCACCAGCACCUUAAAGAGAAGGCUGAAGCCCGCAAAGAGUCUGCCAAGGAGAAGCAGCUGAAGGAAGAAGAGAAGAUCCUGGAGAGUGUUGCCGAGGGCCGAGCAUUGAUGUCGGUGAAGGAGAUGGCUAAGGGCAUUACGUAUGAUGACCCCAUCAAAACCAGCUGGACUCCACCCCGUUAUGUCCUGAGCAUGUCUGAAGAGCGACAUGAGCGCGUGCGGAAGAAAUACCACAUCCUGGUGGAGGGAGACGGUAUCCCACCACCCAUCAAGAGCUUCAAGGAAAUGAAGUUUCCUGCAGCCAUCCUGAGAGGCCUGAAGAAGAAAGGCAUUCACCACCCAACACCCAUCCAGAUCCAGGGCAUCCCCACCAUUCUAUCUGGCCGUGACAUGAUAGGCAUCGCUUUCACGGGUUCAGGCAAGACACUGGUGUUCACGUUGCCCGUCAUCAUGUUCUGCCUGGAACAAGAGAAGAGGUUACCCUUCUCAAAGCGCGAGGGGCCCUAUGGACUCAUCAUCUGCCCCUCGGUAAGAUAGGCUGGCCUGGAGGGCAGGCCAGAGAUUGGGGCUGCCAUCUGGUGCCAGCCUUUGUCCCUCUGCCUGCAGCGGGAGCUGGCCCGGCAGACCCAUGGCAUCCUGGAGUACUACUGCCGCCUGCUGCAGGAGGACAGCUCACCACUCCUGCGCUGCGCCCUCUGCAUUGGGGGCAUGUCCGUGAAAGAGCAGAUGGAGACCAUCCGACACGGUGUACACAUGAUGGUGGCCACCCCGGGGCGCCUCAUGGAUUUGCUGCAGAAGAAGAUGGUCAGCCUAGAUAUCUGUCGCUACCUGGCCCUGGACGAGGCUGACCGCAUGAUCGACAUGGGCUUCGAGGGUGACAUCCGUACCAUCUUCUCCUACUUCAAGGGCCAGCGACAGACCCUGCUCUUCAGUGCCACCAUGCCGAAGAAGAUUCAGAACUUUGCUAAGAGUGCCCUUGUAAAGCCUGUCACCAUCAAUGUGGGGCGCGCUGGGGCUGCCAGCCUGGAUGUCAUCCAGGAAGUAGAAUAUGUGAAGGAGGAGGCCAAGAUGGUGUACCUGCUCGAGUGCCUGCAGAAGACACCCCCGCCUGUACUCAUCUUUGCAGAGAAGAAGGCAGACGUGGACGCCAUCCACGAGUACCUGCUGCUCAAGGGGGUUGAGGCCGUAGCCAUCCAUGGGGGCAAAGACCAGGAGGAACGGACUAAGGCCAUCGAGGCAUUCCGGGAGGGCAAGAAAGAUGUCCUAGUAGCCACAGACGUUGCCUCCAAGGGCCUGGACUUCCCUGCCAUCCAGCACGUCAUCAAUUAUGACAUGCCAGAGGAGAUUGAGAACUAUGUACACCGGAUUGGCCGCACCGGGCGCUCAGGAAACACAGGCAUCGCCACUACCUUCAUCAACAAAGCCUGUGAUGAGUCAGUGCUGAUGGACCUCAAAGCGCUGCUGCUAGAAGCCAAGCAGAAGGUGCCGCCCGUGCUGCAGGUGCUGCAUUGCGGGGACGAGUCCAUGCUGGACAUUGGAGGAGAGCGCGGCUGUGCCUUCUGCGGGGGCCUGGGUCAUCGGAUCACUGACUGCCCCAAACUCGAGGCUAUGCAGACCAAGCAGGUCAGCAACAUCGGUCGCAAGGACUACCUGGCCCACAGCUCCAUGGACUUCUGAGCCGACAGUCUUCCCUUCUCUCCAAGAGGCCUCAGUCCCCAAGACUGCCACCACUCUACACAUACAGCAGGCCCCUGGACAGAAUCAGCAUUCCAGCUCAGCUGGCCUGGAAUGGGCCAGGCUGGUCCUGGCUGCCUGUUCCCUGUGCUCUUCAGAAUUACUGUUUUUGUUUCCUUUCACCCCAGCUGCCAUUAAAGCACAAACCUCUAGCCC
RNAcentral lists this small RNA (2453 nucleotides) under Pan troglodytes (chimpanzee). RNAcentral describes it as "retained intron". Lineage: Eukaryota; Metazoa; Chordata; Mammalia; Primates; Hominidae. The record is from RNAcentral.